GAAAUAUGUUAAUCAAGAUAAAGCUUCUAACUUUUCUCUUUAGCGGUGAAAUUCCGUUUAUAUUUCU
Molecule: transfer RNA, 67 nt
Filed under: Hydrobius fuscipes
Lineage: Eukaryota; Metazoa; Arthropoda; Insecta; Coleoptera; Hydrophilidae
Description: tRNA-Ser
Source: RNAcentral